RNAcentral lists this ribosomal RNA (454 nucleotides) under uncultured bacterium. Its description in RNAcentral is "partial 16S ribosomal RNA". It matches the Rfam family "Bacterial small subunit ribosomal RNA", at positions 28 to 507 of the family's 1533-position model. The record is from RNAcentral.
GAUGAACGCUGACAGAAUGCUUAACACAUGCAAGUCAACUUGAACUUCGGUUUGGGUGGCGGACGGGUGAGUAACGCGUAAAGAACUUGCCUCACAGAUAGGGACAACAUUUGGAAACGAAUGCUAAUACCUGAUAUUAUGAUUAUAUGGCAUCGUAUAAUUAUGAAAGCUAUAUGCGCUGUGAGAGAGCUUUGCGUCCCAUUAGCUAGUUGGAGAGGUGACGGCUCACCAAGGCGAUGAUGGGUAGCCGGCCUGAGAGGGUGAUCGGCCACAAGGGGACUGAGACACGGCCCUUACUCCUACGGGAGGCAGCAGUGGGGAAUAUUGGACAAUGGACCAAGAGUCUGAUCCAGCAAUUCUGUGUGCACGAUGAAGUUUUUCGGAAUGUAAAGUGCUUUCAGUUGGGAAGAAAAAAAUGACGGUACCAACAGAAGAAGUGACGGCUAAAUACGUG